Molecule: non-coding RNA, 182 nt
Filed under: Aneurinibacillus aneurinilyticus
Lineage: Bacteria; Bacillati; Bacillota; Bacilli; Caryophanales; Paenibacillaceae
Description: Lysine riboswitch
Rfam family: Lysine riboswitch aptamer
About the family: Riboswitches are metabolite binding domains within certain messenger RNAs that serve as precision sensors for their corresponding targets. Allosteric rearrangement of mRNA structure is mediated by ligand binding, and this results in modulation of gene expression.
Source: RNAcentral
UGAGGUAGAGGCGCGAAAACCAUAAGUAUCCUGCUGGAGGAAUGAGAAUCCGGAGAAAGCGGGGGAAAGGGGAAUUCGCCGAAAUGGCAGAACGAAUCUCGACGUCUGCUGUUGGGCCUGCAUUGAAUAAGUGCAGGACUGUCACCGGAUUAUCGUCCCGGAUAGCCGGUGGAGUACUAUCU